CAUGCAGUCGAGCGGAACGAGUUAUCUGAACCUUCGGGGAACGAUAACGGCGUCGAGCGGCGGACGGGUGAGUAAUGCCUAGGAAAUUGCCCUGAUGUGGGGGAUAACCAUUGGAAACGAUGGCUAAUACCGCAUAAUGCCUACGGGCCAAAGAGGGGGACCUUCGGGCCUCUCGCGUCAGGAUAUGCCUAGGUGGGAUUAGCUAGUUGGUGAGGUAAGGGCUCACCAAGGCGACGAUCCCUAGCUGGUCUGAGAGGAUGAUCAGCCACACUGGAACUGAGACACGGUCCAGACUCCUACGGGAGGCAGCAGUGGGGAAUAUUGCACAAUGGGCGCAAGCCUGAUGCAGCCAUGCCGCGUGUGUGAAGAAGGCCUUCGGGUUGUAAAGCACUUUCAGUCGUGAGGAAGGUAGUGUAGUUAAUAGCUGCAUUAUUUGACGUUAGCGACAGAAGAAGCACCGGCUAACUCCGUGCCAGCAGCCGCGGUAAUACGGAGGGUGCGAGCGUUAAUCGGAAUUACUGGGCGUAAAGCGCAUGCAGGUGGUUUGUUAAGUCAGAUGUGAAAGCCCGGGGCUCAACCUCGGAAUUGCAUUUGAAACUGGCAGACUAGAGUACUGUAGAGGGGGGUAGAAUUUCAGGUGUAGCGGUGAAAUGCGUAGAGAUCUGAAGGAAUACCGGUGGCGAAGGCGGCCCCCUGGACAGAUACUGACACUCAGAUGCGAAAGCGU
Molecule: ribosomal RNA, 727 nt
Filed under: Vibrio harveyi
Lineage: Bacteria; Pseudomonadati; Pseudomonadota; Gammaproteobacteria; Vibrionales; Vibrionaceae
Description: bacterial SSU rRNA
Rfam family: Bacterial small subunit ribosomal RNA
Source: RNAcentral